GAUGAACGCUGGCGGCGUGCCUAAUACAUGCAAGUAGAACGCUGAAGCUUGGUGCUUGCACCGAGCGGAUGAGUUGCGAACGGGUGAGUAACGCGUAGGUAACCUGCCUCUUAGCGGGGGAUAACUAUUGGAAACGAUAGCUAAUACCGCAUAAAAGUCGAUAUCGCAUGAUAUUGAUUUGAAAGGUGCAAUUGCAUCACUAAGAGAUGGACCUGCGUUGUAUUAGCUAGUUGGUGAGGUAACGGCUCACCAAGGCGACGAUACAUAGCCGACCUGAGAGGGUGAUCGGCCACACUGGGACUGAGACACGGCCCAGACUCCUACGGGAGGCAGCAGUAGGGAAUCUUCGGCAAUGGGGGCAACCCUGACCGAGCAACGCCGCGUGAGUGAAGAAGGUUUUCGGAUCGUAAAGCUCUGUUGUAAGAGAAGAACGAGUGUGAGAGUGGAAAGUUCACACUGUGACGGAACUACCAGA
This 475-nucleotide ribosomal RNA is filed under the name Streptococcus parasanguinis. RNAcentral describes it as "bacterial SSU rRNA". It matches the Rfam family "Bacterial small subunit ribosomal RNA", at positions 28 to 487 of the family's 1533-position model. Lineage: Bacteria; Bacillati; Bacillota; Bacilli; Lactobacillales; Streptococcaceae. The record is from RNAcentral.